RNAcentral lists this ribosomal RNA (407 nucleotides) under uncultured bacterium. RNAcentral describes it as "bacterial SSU rRNA". It matches the Rfam family "Bacterial small subunit ribosomal RNA", at positions 976 to 1380 of the family's 1533-position model. The record is from RNAcentral.
AACCUUUGACAUCCCGGUCGCGAGUACCAGAGAUGGAACUCUUCAGUUCGGCUGGACCGGAGACAGGUGCUGCAUGGCUGUCGUCAGCUCGUGUCGUGAGAUGUUGGGUUAAGUCCCGCAACGAGCGCAACCCUCGCCCUUAGUUGCCAUCAUUCAGUUGGGCACUCUAAGGGGACUGCCGGUGAUAAGCCGCGAGGAAGGUGGGGAUGACGUCAAGUCCUCAUGGCCCUUACAGGUUGGGCUACACACGUGCUACAAUGGCGGUGACAAUGGGACGCAAUGGGGCAACCCUGCGCAAAUCUCAAAAAGCCGUCUCAGUUCGGAUUGUGCUCUGCAACUCGAGCACAUGAAGUUGGAAUCGCUAGUAAUCGCAGAUCAGCACGCUGCGGUGAAUACGUUCCCGGGCC